Molecule: long non-coding RNA, 3412 nt
Filed under: Mus musculus (house mouse)
Lineage: Eukaryota; Metazoa; Chordata; Mammalia; Rodentia; Muridae
Description: long non-coding RNA chr19:57811882-57815294
Source: RNAcentral
ACCUCCUCGAGCCCUUCUCCCGGGGUCCAGCAGAUGGACGCUCGUCUCCUACCUGUGCUUCCAGAUUUCCUUCAUACAGUAAAUGCAGGUAUGCGGUCCCACACCCGUUCUUUCUUAAAUAAGUACUGUGGUUUCAUAACUCAACACACCCGAGAUAUCACAUGGUACAUGACGGGACAAGAGCGCAAACACUGGAGAUUAAACACUAGAACAGCAGUGAUGGCCAUGCACAUCCUGAUGUCAGAGAUUACACAAACUGCAUGAAAACUCUGUUGUUGGAGGUGAAUCAGUACAGUGUGCCCUCUCUGCCACACGCCACUCCUGUGUCUCGUGCUAGAGGGUGGGUCUCUGCACUGCAAAGUUCAUUCAUUCCUAGUUCUGUAGACACACACUGUCUCACAGGGAAGCAUCCCCCGAUUUUACAUGUAUCCUAGUUUACUUACUCUCCACAUUCAGAGCCUUUCUGCUCUUACUGUGUUGUAGCUUUAUCCUCUCUGUGCCUGCCCUUGGUCCUGUAAGACUUUGAGGUGGAAGCCUGUGCUGGCCACAGUCAGGCCACAUCCUUCACCCUCAUUGCCACAUUUCUCUCCGUAGGGUUGUUUGUCUAUCAUUUCCCACCAGUUUCAUGAAGAGCAUAUGGGAAAACUGCGUAUCUGUAAUUUGUUAAAGAAGAAAUGGAGUUUCUUUUAAAUUGCACAUUGCGAAUAGCACAAGAUAAUGAAUAUUUUCCAGGGUUUACAAACCAUAUAUAUUUUUUCUCUCUUUCUGCAAGCUCUUCGUCCAUCCUGUACCUUCUCUGUCAGAUUGUUAAUCCCUUUUAGCAGUUUUUAUUUCCCACAGUUCUUCCUGCCUAGGAGAUUUGCCCCUGUCUUUGGUAUGAGCCAUUUCUUUUUCAGUUCUCCCUUUGAGUCUUCCUCAGACCUUGAACAUUGUCCUGACCUGUUCAUCCUGUUCAAAUACACUCUUGUGAGCUGUGUAGCUUAUAAGUGGUAGAAACGUGGUUUACACAGACUUGGAGUCUCUGCAGUAUAUAACCUGGACCCCCACCGACUCAGGGUCUGGUGAGUGAAGGCUUAGAGUUGUCUCUGAACCUACUUUAUUGAAGGUUCUUGAAUACUUGGUUCCCUCGCUUCUAGCCCACCAACCAGAGAGGACACAGGAUGUGAGAGAACAUUUGUAAGUCCACACCUGACAGGGAUCAGUGUCCAGAAAGCAUAAAGAAUUUACAUAAUUCCACCAGAUUACUCGGUGUUACAGAUGCUGUCAAAAUGGCUGAGUAGACAUCAUUUUCAAAGUACAUUUAUAGUCGACAAUCACUAAGUGAAAUGAAUGAAACGCGAAUCCAUUGAAACAUGACAUUUACAGUCUCAAGUAGACUUAGGGACAGAAACCCUUGCAAAGUGUGUAUAGAAUUUCUCUUUAGGUAAUAAAAGUACUGGGAGUCAUGUUUUGUUGUGUCUGGCCAGUAGAUCACAACCUGGGUUCUAGCCUGGAAAGGCAUUUUGGAAACCUGGAAGAGAAGAGGGGCUGGGCUGCGCGAGAUAAGGAAGGAACCAAGACAAAGCUCUCUGCUCAAGGUUUAAUUUUUACUAUUUCGGCACUCAGUUAUAAAGGAAGGGGGAGGGGCCCAAUUCCCGCCAAAUAAUCUUGGGGUCCAGUAGCAGGGUGAUCACGUGUGUGGCUCUAAACAGCAAAGCAGCAUGUUCCAGCAGUGGGCGUGGCAGAAUGAUUGAGCGGGAAGCUCCACCGCUGAGCAAGCAGGUUUCAGGCUGGGGGAGGGGAGACUACAUCUCCUCCCUGUUGUUAAUAAAAAUAAAAAUUAAAAAAAAAAGGCUGGCCUGAGGCAAAAAAUUUAUUUAUGCUCAAUAGUUCUCCCUGAAUUCUUGGGGCUAAAGAAAAAACCUGUCUCCGUGGGAUUUCCUAACUUUUUUUUAUGGCAAAUCUUAAUGCACUAUUGUGAAUAUAAUUGUCAUUAAAUUAUAUGAUCAUAUUGGCAAAUGCUUGCGUGUUUGCCAUAGUAAACUGUAUAAGCGUGCAAUGAGAUACAACCUUGCAUCUGCUAGGAAGGCUGACUAGACAAGAAAGGUUAUCACAGAUAUUGGUAAGGAGCUGGACAGAUUGGAGCCCUGUGCACUGGGAGGAGCUGGACAGACUGGAGCCCUGUGCACUGGGGGGGGGGAAGGAGCUGGACAGAUUGGAGCCCUGUGCACUGGGGUGGGAUUCAAAUGGUUCAGCUCUUUCAAGAAGCGUUUGUCAGUUUCUGAGAAUGCCAAAGUGUUGCCUUAUGACCUUUCAGUUUUCCACACGGAGGUGUGUGCUCCAGGGGAAUUACGUGUAAUUUGCGUAUAAUGUAUAGUGAUGUGUUUAGCAGCAUUAGGCGUGAUGACUCAGAGAUGAAGACAAGGUAAAUUUACAUGUUUUAAUUUUUGGUUUAGAAAGAAACAGAAUGUGGUAAGUGAAUGGAGCUUCAGGCAAAAUAACAUAUCUAACCCAACACAGAGGCAAAGACGUAUGCUGUCUUUAUGUGUGGGUGCAUGCACACAUGCAUGCAGAAGUCAGCGGAGGAUGCCAAGUGCUCUCUGGCUCCCUGCCUUCAGUUUCCCAAGACAACGUUUUUCAGUGACCUUGGAGCUAGGAUUGCAGCUGGAUCAGCUUCAGUGAUUCUCCUGCCUCCGUGAGCUCAUGGCCAUGACUGUUACACAUGCACCCAGCCACAUCCACAUUUUAAAAUACAAACCAGGAAUCCAGGUUCAACCUCUCAUAUUUGAAUAGCGCGUGCCUUUUCCCACUGGGCUAUCUCUGCAGCCCCCAUAUGAACCAUUUCAUGAUACGUGUUACAUGGCUCAGUAGGGAAAGGUACUUACAGCAAAGCCUGGCACACUGACACACUGGCACACUGACACACUGGCACACUGGCACACACCAAUACAUGAACAGGAUCCGAGCAUAGAAAGGAGAAUUCCAGAGAGAUUGUCCUGCAGGUCAAGAUGCUUUCUGCAUGAGUGUGGCACCCAAGCACAGUCCCUGGAGCCCAGGAAAAGCCAGAAGGAGAGAGCUGACCACUUAGAGUUGUCCUCUGGUCUUCACAUCCAUGCUGCGGCCUGUGUGCCCACCCGUGCAUGUGUGUGUGUGUGUGUGUCUGUGUCUCUGUGUGUGUGUGUGUGCGCGCGCGCGCGCACGCAUGUGUCAGGUGCAUGCCCUCAGCAGUCAUCAUGACAAUCAUAAUACUAUAGACAUUAGAAGAAGUAAUGACCACAAAUGGGCAAGGAGUUGAUAUUUGAGUGUAAUUGAAGUUUUCUAUAAAUAAGUUGUGUAUUGAUGACCUCACAAUUCUGAGUAAAGUAACAAAUUGGUUGAAUUUUAGAGUGUGUUGAAUUUUAUAGCAUACCUAUUAUAUUGUGAUAGAAUUGUU